RNAcentral lists this ribosomal RNA (492 nucleotides) under uncultured bacterium. RNAcentral's name for it is "partial 16S ribosomal RNA". It matches the Rfam family "Bacterial small subunit ribosomal RNA", at positions 29 to 507 of the family's 1533-position model. The record is from RNAcentral.
AGUGAACGCUGGCGGUAGGCCUAACACAUGCAAGUCGAACGGCAGCACAGUAAGAGCUUGCUCUUACGGGUGGCGAGUGGCGGACGGGUGAGGAAUACAUCGGAAUCUACUUUUUCGUGGGGGAUAACGUAGGGAAACUUACGCUAAUACCGCAUACGACCUACGGGUGAAAGCAGGGGAUCUUCGGACCUUGCGCGAUUGAAUGAGCCGAUGUCGGAUUAGCUAGUUGGCGGGGUAAAGGCCCACCAAGGCGACGAUCCGUAGCUGGUCUGAGAGGAUGAUCGGCCACACUGGAACUGAGACACGGUCCAGACUCCUACGGGAGGCAGCAGUGGGGAAUAUUGGACAAUGGGCGCAAGCCUGACGCAGCCAUACCGCGUGGGUGAAGAAGGCCUUCGGGUUGUAAAGCCCUUUUGUUGGGAAAGAAAAGCAGCAGGUUAAUACCCCGCUGUUCUGACGGUACCCAAAGAAUAAGCACCGGCUAACUUCGUG